This is a long non-coding RNA of Etheostoma cragini (Arkansas darter), 96 nucleotides long. RefSeq lists it as uncharacterized. The record is from RefSeq and is a predicted model, not a curated record. Lineage: Eukaryota; Metazoa; Chordata; Actinopteri; Perciformes; Percidae. The transcript is spliced from 3 exons.
UUAACUUCAAGUUCAAGCACUUUUUUGUCAUUGUGUAGCACAACAAGAUUACUUUGACAGCCCAAGGGUGUGCUAAAAAUGACCAAAUACAUGUUG